Molecule: small RNA, 27 nt
Filed under: Bombyx mori (domestic silkworm)
Lineage: Eukaryota; Metazoa; Arthropoda; Insecta; Lepidoptera; Bombycidae
Description: ovarian small RNA-12749
Source: RNAcentral
CAAAGAUUAAAGAGGCAAUAGAACAAA